UACGUAGGGGGCAAGCGUUGUCCGGAAUCAUUGGGCGUAAAGCGCGUGUAGGCGGUCCGGUAAGUCCGCUGUGAAAGUCGGGGGCUCAACCCUCGGAUGCCGGUGGAUACUGUCGGGCUUGAGUCCGGAAGAGGAGUGUGGAAUUCCUGGUGUAGCGGUGAAAUGCGCAGAUAUCAGGAGGAACACCAAUGGCGAAGGCAGCACUCUGGGACGUGACUGACGCUGAGACGCGAAAGCGUGGGGAGCAAACAGG
This 253-nucleotide ribosomal RNA is filed under the name uncultured bacterium. RNAcentral describes it as "partial 16S ribosomal RNA". It matches the Rfam family "Bacterial small subunit ribosomal RNA", at positions 524 to 776 of the family's 1533-position model. The record is from RNAcentral.